GGUGCGGUAGCCAAGUGGUAAGGUCGAGCUCUGCAAAAGCUCUAUUCGGCGGUUCGAUUCCGCCCCGCACCUCCA
This 75-nucleotide transfer RNA is filed under the name Puniceicoccales bacterium. RNAcentral's name for it is "tRNA-Cys". It matches the Rfam family "tRNA". From Rfam's summary of the family: Transfer RNA (tRNA) molecules are approximately 80 nucleotides in length. Their secondary structure includes four short double-helical elements and three loops (D, anti-codon, and T loops). Lineage: Bacteria; Pseudomonadati; Verrucomicrobiota; Opitutia; Puniceicoccales. The record is from RNAcentral.